This 1311-nucleotide ribosomal RNA is filed under the name uncultured Parcubacteria group bacterium. RNAcentral's name for it is "bacterial SSU rRNA". It matches the Rfam family "Bacterial small subunit ribosomal RNA", at positions 28 to 1364 of the family's 1533-position model. The record is from RNAcentral.
GAUGAACGCUGGCGGCGUGGAUAAGGCAUGCAAGUCACGGGGGCCCGCAAGGGCAACCGGCGAACGAGUCAGUAACACCUUAGUACAUACCUCGAAGUGGAGCAUAGCCAGUUGAAAGAUUGGGUAAUUCUCCAUACUCCCGAGAGGGAAAAGCAGCAAUGCGCUUUGAGAUUGGCUUAGGUCCGAUCAGCUAGUUGGUAAGGUAACGGCUUACCAAGGCUAUGACCGGUAGGGGGGCUGAGAGGCUGAUCCCCGACGACGAGACUGAGACACGGCUCGUACACCUACGGGUGGCAGCAGUCGAGAAUAUUCCACAAUGGGCGAAAGCCUGAUGGAGCGACGCCGCGUGGAGGAAGAAGGCCUUCGGGUUGUAAACUCCUUUUCUAUGGGAUGAGGAUCGGCUUGUCCGGUUUGACCGUACCAUAGGAAUAAGAGGUUGCUAACUCUGUGCCAGCAGCAGCGGUAAUACAGAGACCUCAAGCGUUAUCCGGAUUUAUUGGGCGUAAAGGGCGCGUAGGAUGUUUUGCGCGCGUCUCAUGUUAAAUUUGCGGGCUCAACCCGCGAGCUGCAUGGGAUACGGCAUAACUAGAGGAUAUCAGAGGUAUGCGGAACGCACGGUGUAGGGGUGAAAUCCGUUGAUAUCGUGCGGAACACCAAAGGCGAAGGCAGCAUACUGGGAUAUUUCCUGACUUCUGAGGCGCGAAAGCGUGGGGAGGCAAAAAGGAUUAGAUACCCUUUGUAGUUCCACGCCCUAAACGAUGUCUACUAGCUAUUGGAAGUAUCGACCCUUUCAGUGGCGAAGCUAACGCGUUAAGUAGACCGCCUGGGAAGUACGGCCGCAAGGCUAAAACUCAAAGGAAUAGACGGGGACUCGCACAAGCGGUGGAGCAUGUGGUUUAAUUCGAUGCUAAGCGAAACACCUCACCAAGGUUUGAAACCCUAACGACGGUUUCCCGAAAGGGACUCCUUUCUAUGUUUACAUAGAACGGUAGGGCAGGUGCUGCACGGUUGUCGUCAGCUCGUGGCUUGAGUUGUUCCCUUAAGUGGGUUAACGAGCGCAACCCCCAUUGCCUGUUACAAGUGUCAGGCGAAACAGCCCUCUAUUGAGGGAGGAAGGUGGGGAUGACGUCAAAUCAGCGUGGCCCUUUGAUAUCUUGGGCAACACACAUGCUACAAUGACCUGUACAAUGGGUAGCCAAGCCGUAAGGCGGAGCCAAUCCCAUCAAAACAGGCCCCAGUUCGGAUUGAAGGCUGCAACUCGCCUUCAUAGAGUUGGAAUCGCUAGUAAUCGCGGAUCAGCACGCCGCGGUG